This 278-nucleotide ribosomal RNA is filed under the name Aurantiochytrium limacinum. RNAcentral's name for it is "partial Eukaryotic large subunit ribosomal RNA". It matches the Rfam family "Eukaryotic large subunit ribosomal RNA", at positions 1222 to 1499 of the family's 3401-position model. The record is from RNAcentral. Lineage: Eukaryota; Bigyra; Thraustochytrida; Thraustochytriidae.
UGUUGAUUCAUUUAGACAGCAGGACGGUGGCCAUGGAAGUUGGAACCCGCUAAGGACUGUGUAACAACUCACCUGCCGAAUGAACUAGCCCUGAAAAUGGAUGGCGCUGAAGCGAGUCACCUAUCCUCAACCACUGCUGCAAGUGCUGUGCAGCAGUGAGUAGGAGGGCGUGAUGAUUGUUGUGCAGCUCGCGGCGUGAGCCGGAGUGAAACGGUCAUUAGUGCAGAUCUUGGUGGUAGUAGCAAAUAUUCAAAUGAGAACUUUGAAGGCCGAAGAGG